Molecule: unclassified non-coding RNA, 588 nt
Filed under: Talaromyces flavovirens
Lineage: Eukaryota; Fungi; Ascomycota; Eurotiomycetes; Eurotiales; Trichocomaceae
Description: sequence contains 18S rRNA gene, ITS1, 5.8S rRNA gene, ITS2, 28S rRNA gene
Rfam family: 5.8S ribosomal RNA (bases 222-375)
Source: RNAcentral
UCGUAACAAGGUUUCCGUAGGUGAACCUGCGGAAGGAUCAUUACCGAGUGCGGGCCCUCGUGGCCCAACCUCCCACCCUUGUCUCUCUACACCUGUUGCUUUGGCGGGCCCACCGGGGCGACCUGGUCGCCGGGGGACGAACGUCCCCGGGCCCGCGCCCGCCGAAGCGCUCUGUGAACCCUGAUGAAGAUGGGCUGUCUGAGUACGAUGAAAAUUGUCAAAACUUUCAACAAUGGAUCUCUUGGUUCCGGCAUCGAUGAAGAACGCAGCGAAAUGCGAUAAGUAAUGUGAAUUGCAGAAUUCCGUGAAUCAUCGAAUCUUUGAACGCACAUUGCGCCCCCUGGCAUUCCGGGGGGCAUGCCUGUCCGAGCGUCAUUUCUGCCCUCAAGCACGGCUUGUGUGUUGGGUGUGGUCCCCCCGGGGACCUGCCCGAAAGGCAGCGGCGACGUCCGUCUGGUCCUCGAGCGUAUGGGGCUUUGUCACUCGCUCGGGAAGGACCUGCGGGGGUUGGUCACCACCACAUUUUUUUUACCACGGUUGACCUCGGAUCAGGUAGGAGUUACCCGCUGAACUUAAGCAUAUCAAUAA